GUUCCUAGGGGCUUUGGCGUCCGGGCCGGUUACGGUCUCCCGUGGCAAUCUGGUGCCAAGGUCGGGGUCAGACAAAGUCCAAUUGAAAGAUCUUGAUGAUGUCCGACUACGUCAGCAAACCACACCUGAAUUAGAGAAACCAGGGCACCUUCCUGGACCCAGGACUAGUGGUGCCUGGUGGUCGGGCUUUAGCCCGUUGGGCUCAGCCUGAAAAAACAUGGGCUCACCACAUGAGGUGGGGGGUAGUCAAGGUUGGUUGCACUGAGAGAUGGUGGCAAGUGUGGACCUGUGAGGUUAAACAAAACCAUCUGGAUAUAGUUGGGCCCGCGUUCACACUCAGUUUGGGUUCUAGAAGCUAUUCAUGUAUUCUGGAGUCGUCACAGGAAGAACAGCAUCAGGCUGGUGUGGCUUACAAGCCCCCGGCUGAGUGUCGGUGUUGGACCUCUCCUCUCUGAGUGACAGCUGGGAUCACAAGAGGAAAGGUUCUGGAUGUCGUCUGAGUCCGGGCCGAACAAAAAUUCUGGUUCCUUCAUUCUCUCCAGACUCAUAAACUAGAUUUUUUUUAAACGUUACGGUUCAUUAAUGUACCUUUGGUAUUAUAAACGGACAUGCUGUACAGAAAUCUCACUGAGUCUGGUUUGAUCAUCUGUGGUUCUGAUCCAAACGGAUGGAUGAGGUGUUCACAGAUUAUUAUUAUUCACUUCAAGAAAUUAUUCCUACUUAAAUCACUAGUGGUCCAGUUAUCAUUUCCCCUAAUAAUGGCUACUUAUUUUUAUUUUACUUAUUUAAGUUGAAUUAGUUGACAAAGACUAUGGACCAAAACUGACAGUUAAAAAUAAAAGCAGAAAUAUAUAAAUGGCCCAAUAAAUAAAUCAACACAUUUAAAAUGCACCAAUUAAUUUUAAAAAGGUGAACUUUACCUCAUGUUUUAUAAUUUGACAUUCAUAUUUUUUUUCAGGUUAGUCAUUCAAGCACAUAAUAUUAAUUUUACUGUUUUUAAUAUUAGGUUUUCCUCAUACUGCAUUUAUGUCUCUUUAAUUUUCCCCUUUAAAGUUUUUACCUUGUUUUUUUCCAACAAGUCUUUUUAUUUUCAUGUUUUCUUUUUUACAUUUUUCUUUCUCCUAUUUUUUACUUUACUUUAUGCAUUUCUGCCUCAUUAUGCAAACCAGUUGGGCCGCCCUUCUUGGGUCAGGUCCUCUACCGUUGGUCAAGAGGCAGAAAGGAGCAGGAUCCAUGUGCAGAUCGAUGCUUCAUGCAAGCGCUUGUGGCCGUUUCAGGAGAACGGACCUUGUUUGAGAGGAAGUGGAGUCCCAGCAGAGAUGACAGUUGCCUCCUCGAGCCUUGGAAUCGUUUUUGCUCACAGAUAUUGCAGGACUUUUUGGGGUCAGUGAAUGAACAGGAUGGCAGAAUAAGGGAUGCAUGUGUGUCGUUUCUGUUAUAAACUGAACACGAUAGAUGUUAUGUCACAAUUAUAAAAAUACAAAAUACUUCUAUGGGUUCAAAUGUAAAUAUAAUGAAUGAACAACAUAUAUUAAGUCUUUAACACAAACUUUUGAAUUAUGAGCAACAUGCUUCAUAAUAAAAUAUAUUCAUUUGGUGAGCGCACAGACCACGUCAGCAGAGUAAUGAUGAAUGUUAAUAUCCACCGUUACACAGCACUUUUCCAGAUUGCUCCUACGGUACAGCUUUUCUUAAAAUGUGAAAUACAUACGUCAGAAAUCCAGUGUGUAAAAUAUGCCACCAGUUGUCAACCAGACUCUAGGCCAGUAGGGGGCCAGUUUUUUUGUGCUGCCAGAGUAUUUUGCAUGUAAAUUAGUAUAUUUGGUGUCAUAAGCUGAAUGAUUAAAUGCAGGGUAAGCUAAUGUGUCUGCUCAAGAAAAAUAGUCCAAAACUGACCAGACAUUAUGUUUUUUGUGUUUUUUUUUUUUUUUUAUAGAGUAUCCGAGUUGUUCAGCGAUAUGGGAGAUCAUGAGCUGGAUGCAGUUAUGAGGGAAAUUUUAAGUUAUCAUCCCAAUACAGGAUACAAGAUGACGUUGGGCUAUUUGAAUGUUUGAGGUAUUCAGAUUUAAAGUAAGUGAGACUAACAGAUGUGCUUGUGACAAUCACAGUGUAGGCAUCAUGUAAUGUAAUGACAAAUUGAUGAUUGUUUAUCCCUCCUAGACAAUGUAGAAAAGGAGACCAAAUAGACCCUUCAGACUCCACACACAGGUCACAACUUUUAAAAGGAAAGUUUGUGUUUUAAAUUGAUUACAAUCACAAGGUAAAAUCCUAAUUCUGAAUAAUGUACCUUUUUGAAUGUGUUCAUCAGAAAAAAAAUCAAACAUGUUUUAAUUAUGAUCUCGUUCCGUUUUUUAAGGUGACAAGUGCCAGAAGAUAUGCACCGUGUGGACCAGCAGGGAAUUUUGAUGCACACUUUCCAGCUACAGACGGUUCAGCGUAGAAGAUAUUCUGUUCCAACAGUGUGAAGCCCAUAGAUGGAUGUUAAUAAUUUGUACUGAUGGCGAACUGUCGUUCACGGGGGGCUUCAGUCGCCUUAUUGUUUACCUGAAUGCUGCCACCUACAAUCGCACCACAACAGUUCAUAGCAGCUUUCUUGGAGCUGUGAAUACAUAUGGAGUGCCAUCAUGCGUUCGCUCUGACAAAGGAGGAGAGAAUGUUCAAGUGGCACACAUGGUCUCAGCCUGAGGCCCAGGCAGAAAUUCUCACCUUACUGGAUUGAGAGACUAUGGAGAGAUGUCUGCUACCUGAAGACUCAGAUUCACCUGUAUGCACUAUACUGGACCUUUCGUCCUCAAAUCCACAAACAUCUUCAGUUAUUCACGGAUGGCUGGAAUAACCACAAACUACAUACAGAAGGGAACCAAUCACCACACUUCUUAUGGUCUCAGUAUCAGCAUGAAGGUCACAACCCUGCCUAAGUUGGUUUUGUAAAUGCAAUGAUACAGAGUAUAUACACUCACUGGCCACUUUAUUAGGUACACCUGUCCAACUGCUUGUCAAUGCA
Girardinichthys multiradiatus is the source of this 3004-nucleotide long non-coding RNA. RefSeq lists it as uncharacterized. NCBI's taxonomy places the organism in Eukaryota, Metazoa, Chordata, Actinopteri, Cyprinodontiformes, Goodeidae. The transcript has 3 exons. The record is from RefSeq and is a predicted model, not a curated record.